RNAcentral lists this ribosomal RNA (268 nucleotides) under uncultured bacterium. RNAcentral describes it as "partial 16S ribosomal RNA". It matches the Rfam family "Bacterial small subunit ribosomal RNA", at positions 28 to 297 of the family's 1533-position model. The record is from RNAcentral.
GACGAACGCUGGCGGCGUGCUUAACACAUGCAAGUCGAGCGGUAAGGCCCUUUCGGGGUACGACGAGCGGCGAACGGGUGAGUAACACGUGGGUGACCUGCCCUCAGCUCUGGGAUAAGCCUGGGAAACCGGGUCUAAUACCGGAUAUGACUCCAUGACGCAUGUUGUGGGGUGGAAAGCCUUGUGCGGCUGAGGAUGGGCCCGCGGCCUAUCAGCUUGUUGGUGGGGUGANGGCCUACCAAGGCGACGACGGGUAGCCGGCCUGAGA